RNAcentral lists this ribosomal RNA (253 nucleotides) under uncultured bacterium. RNAcentral's name for it is "partial 16S ribosomal RNA". It matches the Rfam family "Bacterial small subunit ribosomal RNA", at positions 524 to 776 of the family's 1533-position model. The record is from RNAcentral.
UACGAAGGGGGCUAGCGUUGCUCGGAAUUACUGGGCGUAGCGCGCACGUAGGCGGUCUUUUAAGUCGGGGGUGAAAUCCUGGAGCUCAACUCCAGAACUGCCUUCGAUACUGGAAGACUUGAGUCCGGGAGAGGUGAGUGGAACUGCGAGUGUAGAGGUGAAAUUCGUAGAUAUUCGGAAGAACACCAGUGGCGAAGGCGGCUCACUGGACCGGCAUUGACGCUGAGGUGUGAAAGCGUGGGGAGCAAACAGG